Molecule: transfer RNA, 71 nt
Filed under: Pseudomuriella schumacherensis
Lineage: Eukaryota; Viridiplantae; Chlorophyta; Chlorophyceae; Sphaeropleales; Pseudomuriellaceae
Description: tRNA-Asn
Rfam family: tRNA
About the family: Transfer RNA (tRNA) molecules are approximately 80 nucleotides in length. Their secondary structure includes four short double-helical elements and three loops (D, anti-codon, and T loops).
Source: RNAcentral
UUCUCAAUAGCUCAGUGGUAGAGCGGUUGGCUGUUAACCAAAAGGUCGUAGGUUCAAACCCUACUUGAGAA